RNAcentral lists this long non-coding RNA (343 nucleotides) under Ananas comosus (pineapple). Its description in RNAcentral is "long non-coding RNA (ACOM_LNC024029)". The record is from RNAcentral. Lineage: Eukaryota; Viridiplantae; Streptophyta; Magnoliopsida; Poales; Bromeliaceae.
UUUAUGUAGAAAGUUGUAAUAAUAUGCUACGUACCUGACUCAAUGCAACUCGUCGAUGAUGAGAUUUCGCUGAGACGAGGACGGCGUCGAGAAUGAUGGUCUCCGUUCCGACUCGAAUAUCACAGAUCCAGGUGGGAGAAGAAUAAGUUGAGAGAUUAAGCAGGGUUUAAGGAAGGAUAAGAAGUAGAAGAAAAGAUGAAGGAGAAAGAAGAAGUAGGAGGGACGAGAUGAGUUGAGAAGGAAAUCAAUAUCAAUAUUAUUUAUAAUCGACCUAGGUUACACCUGCAUCUUUUAUUACCCUGUCUAUUACUAAAAACAAAGAAUAUGAACUCCUAUGUGCUAU